Molecule: ribosomal RNA, 275 nt
Filed under: uncultured Geodermatophilus sp.
Lineage: Bacteria; Bacillati; Actinomycetota; Actinomycetes; Geodermatophilales; Geodermatophilaceae
Description: partial 16S ribosomal RNA
Rfam family: Bacterial small subunit ribosomal RNA
Source: RNAcentral
CCUACGGGAGGCUGCAGUGGGGAAUAUUGCGCAAUGGGCGGAAGCCUGACGCAGCGACGCCGCGUGGGGGAUGACGGCCUUCGGGUUGUAAACCUCUUUCAGCAGGGACGAAGCCGCGAGGUGACGGUACCUGCAGAAGAAGCACCGGCCAACUACGUGCCAGCAGCCGCGGUAAUACGUAGGGUGCAAGCGUUGUCCGGAAUUAUUGGGCGUAAAGAGCUCGUAGGCGGUUGGUCGCGUCGGCUGUGAAAACCCGGAGCUCAACUCCGGGCCUG